UAGGGAAUCUCCCACAAUGGGCGCAAGCCUGAUGGAGCAACACCGCGUGAGUGAAGAAGGGUUUCGGCUCGUAAAGCUCUGUUGUUAAAGAAGAACACGUAUGAGAGUAACUGUUCAUACGUUGACGGUAUUUAACCAGAAAGUCACGGCUAACUACGUACCAG
RNAcentral lists this ribosomal RNA (164 nucleotides) under uncultured bacterium. RNAcentral's name for it is "partial 16S rRNA". It matches the Rfam family "Bacterial small subunit ribosomal RNA", at positions 355 to 511 of the family's 1533-position model. The record is from RNAcentral.